AACGAACGCUGGCGGCAUGCCUAACACAUGCAAGUCGAACGAGACCUUUUGGUCUAGUGGCGCACGGGUGCGUAACGCGUGGGAAUCUGCCCUUGGGUUCGGAAUAACAGUGAGAAAUUGCUGCUAAUACCGGUUGAUGUCUUCGGACCAAAGAUUUAUCGCCCAGGGAUGAGCCCGCGUAGGAUUAGCUAGUUGGUGUGGUAAUGGUCUACCAAGGCGACGAUCCUUAGCUGGUCUGAGAGCAUGAUCAGCCACACUGGGACUGAGACACGGCCCAGACUCCUACGGGAUGCAGCAGUGGGAAAUAUUGGCCAAUGGGCGCAAGCCUGAUCCAGCCAUGCCGCGUGAGGGAUGAAGGACUUAGGGUUGUAAAGCUCUUUUACCAGGGAUGAUAAUGACAGUACCUGGGGAAUAAGCCCCGGCUAACUCCGUG
RNAcentral lists this ribosomal RNA (433 nucleotides) under uncultured bacterium. RNAcentral describes it as "partial 16S ribosomal RNA". It matches the Rfam family "Bacterial small subunit ribosomal RNA", at positions 29 to 507 of the family's 1533-position model. The record is from RNAcentral.